GCCAGCUCUUACCCCCUCCAGAGCUAAUUGUUGGUAUCUUUCCCAACCCCAUAUUAAGUGACUACAUGUUGGUAGCUUGAAAUUGGCCAUGGUAGGAAUACUUACAGAAAAUGACAAACAAUACAAAUCAGUCCUUCUCCCCAUAUGGUUACUACAUGUCUAUCAGCAUACUACUGAUGUGGGUGGUAGAAACCAGUAGAGUGAAUUCUCCUUGGUUGUGACCCUACUAUACAUUUGAGCCUGGUUCUAGAAAGGUCUCAAGAGCUUAGCUGACACUACAUACCUUUAUGGCUGGAAUACUGCUGAGGACUCUAGGUUCUAUGUGGUGGAGAGGCUGAUAGGGAGAAAGGAUGAGUGUGGAGUGACAGGCUUUGAUGGGUCACUUUAGGACUCGGUGAGAUGAGAGAUGGGUGCCGGAAAAAGGGCUUCCCUUCCUUGACUCUAAUUCAGUAGAAGCUGGCGAGGCCCGGUGCGGGUAGAGGAGCAAGGGAAGGAAAUCCCUUGGCGAGACUUGGAGGGCCACUGCGGUCCUCUAGGCGGUCGUAUUGGCACUAUGCUGCGGUCCUUCCCCUUUCCACCACCAGAAGGCGCUCUUGCGCGGUCUUGGGGCCGACCUUCCCAGCCCAGGUUGGCGACACUCUAGUCGCCGCUUCUCUAAGGCCCGCGGAGCUGGCUCGGAGCCGCGGGAGAAAGGCCCUCCUGCGUGCGCGCAGCCUGCGGAAGCGGGCCAUGGAGCGGCUCCCAAAGCUCGUAGUCUUCGAUCUGGAUUACACACUCUGGCCGUUCUGGGUGGACACGCACGUAGACCCCCCGUUCCACAAGAGCAGUAAUGGAACUAUACGAGAUAGGCGGGGCCAGACCGUCCGACUGUACCCAGAGGUGCCUGAGGUCCUGGAAAGAUUGCAGAGCCUGGGGGUGCCCGUCGCGGCCGCUUCACGGACUGGUGAGGUUGAAGGGGCCAACCAGCUACUGGGGCUCUUUGACCUUGUCAGAUACUUUGUUCAUCGGGAAAUCUAUCCAGGCAGCAAGGUCACACACUUUGAGAGGUUGCAGCGGAAGACUGGAGUUCCUUUCUCCCAGAUGAUCUUCUUUGAUGAUGAGAAGCGGAAUAUUGUUGACGUCAGCAAACUGGGUGUUACCUGUGUUCGUGUCCAGAAUGGAAUGAGCCUUCAGACCCUAACUCAAGGAUUAGAGACAUUUGCAAAGGCCCAAGCUGGACACUGAGGUGCAGUCCUGUGGAUGAGCCUCAUUUAAGGCAUAGAACUGAAAGGAAAUCAGGAGGGCAUUUUCAGGGAAGAAGGAGAGGGGGCCAACUCCUGAAGAGGCAAUACAGAAACUGAAGGAGACAGAGAAGAUAUUGAUCAAGAAACAGGAAUUUCUGGAGCAGAAGAUUGAACAGGAGCUACAAACUGCCAAGAAGCAUGGG
Molecule: RNA transcript, 1426 nt
Organism: Hippopotamus amphibius kiboko
Lineage: Eukaryota; Metazoa; Chordata; Mammalia; Artiodactyla; Hippopotamidae
Gene: MDP1
Gene name: magnesium dependent phosphatase 1
Exons: 7
Source: RefSeq, a predicted model, not a curated record